RNAcentral lists this unclassified non-coding RNA (523 nucleotides) under Hevea brasiliensis (rubber tree). Lineage: Eukaryota; Viridiplantae; Streptophyta; Magnoliopsida; Malpighiales; Euphorbiaceae. The record is from RNAcentral.
UCUGCCAAUGAAACACCAUCCACUUCUUGAGGGGCCGAAUCUACGAAGUAUACACCCUCCUCUUCUUCCUCAUCAUCCUUCUCAACCGGCUCGAUCUUCGGCUCACGAACCUUCAGCCGGUUGAACCCCUUCAUGUGGCGGCCAUGGUCUGUAUCCUUCUCCUUGAUCUUCCUCAGUUUCUUCUGCACAAUCGAUGAAGCAGUAUCUAUACUCUCAUAUAGUGUUUCGGAGUCCAUCUCCGCACGGAUCACCCCAUGCUUCUUGGUGAACACAGUGACCUCGCAUCUGCGGACUCUGGCACCUCUCCCGAACUCACCGCCGCGAGCCGAGAGCCGAACAUCCGCCUCACGCACAAGGUGGCUGUGCUUCUGUAAGGCCUUUCCCACCUUGUCCUCAACAUGCUUCUUGACGGCAUCACUCAGAUUGAGGUUCUUGCCCUGCAUGAUGAGCCGGACGGAGGAGAGGGCGCCGUCCCAGGACAUGCGUGCGCCGAGAGCGGUGCCGGCCGGCGAGGCAUCGCCGG